GCGCAGCAGGCGCGAAUCGUUCACAAUGGGCGCAAGCCUGAUGGCGCGACGCCGCGUGUGGGAUGGAGGCCUUCGGGUUGUAAACCACUGUCACAGGGGAAGAAAGGCACGGAUGCUAACAUCGUCCGUGUUUGACGUUACCCUGAGAGGAAGCCACGGCUAACUCCGUGCCAGCAGCCGCGGUAAUACGGAGGUGGCAAGCGUUGUUCGGAAUUACUGGGCGUAAAGGGUGC
RNAcentral lists this ribosomal RNA (233 nucleotides) under uncultured microorganism. Its description in RNAcentral is "partial 16S ribosomal RNA". It matches the Rfam family "Bacterial small subunit ribosomal RNA", at positions 346 to 570 of the family's 1533-position model. The record is from RNAcentral.